UCCGUCAUUUCCUGUCUUGCAUUCAAAACGGUCGGAGUUCCCAGGAGGUUCGGACAUUAAGCUCGAAGGAAAGUGCUUUGAACACUCUUCCGAACCUCGGAGCUGUUUUGAAUGCGGCAAUGCUUUAACAAAAGAAGCACCACGGAAUAUUGGUAUCCGAGGCGUUUUGAACACACCAAAAGUUAUUUCCUGGAGAGAACUCAUCAUGGCUCGCAAACGAGCGAAGGAGGGCAGUUGCUCAGUGUUUGGAUGUACGAAUGAGCACAAAAGUAUAUUUUUAGUUCCUUCAUCCGAGCCUCUAAAGAACCAGUGGGUUGAUUUUAUUUUCUCUGGAAAUGCUGCGCGAGUCUGCGCCAAACAUUUCACCGAAGACUGCUUCCUCAACUUGGGCCAAUACAGAGCUGGACUUGCUCAACGUCUGAGAAUUGAUUCUAGAUCAGUACCAACUCUCCUCGGCUCAGCUACAAACCGCAGACAAGCCAGCUCAUCAAGUGCUUCCAUUCAGCAGCUUCUCUCAAGGGAUGUUGCCUGCCAGACAGACCACCUGGAAACGCCUACUGUAGGCACACAGCUAUCCUUAAACACUUUGCAGUCCCACUUUAAAAGUGAAGAAUACUGCGAUGCCUUUGGAGACCGUAGCACUGAGCGCAACGCCACCUCAGAGAUUCUGGGUGUG
Long non-coding RNA from Gadus morhua (Atlantic cod), 676 nucleotides. RefSeq lists it as uncharacterized. The transcript is spliced from 3 exons. The record is from RefSeq and is a predicted model, not a curated record. NCBI's taxonomy places the organism in Eukaryota, Metazoa, Chordata, Actinopteri, Gadiformes, Gadidae.